Molecule: ribosomal RNA, 940 nt
Filed under: Lactobacillus delbrueckii subsp. bulgaricus
Lineage: Bacteria; Bacillati; Bacillota; Bacilli; Lactobacillales; Lactobacillaceae
Description: bacterial SSU rRNA
Rfam family: Bacterial small subunit ribosomal RNA
Source: RNAcentral
CACGGCUCAACCGUGGAACUGCAUCGGAAACUGUCAUUCUUGAGUGCAGAAGAGGAGAGUGGAAUUCCAUGUGUAGCGGUGGAAUGCGUAGAUAUAUGGAAGAACACCAGUGGCGAAGGCGGCUCUCUGGUCUGCAACUGACGCUGAGGCUCGAAAGCAUGGGUAGCGAACAGGAUUAGAUACCCUGGUAGUCCAUGCCGUAAACGAUGAGCGCUAGGUGUUGGGGACUUUCCGGUCCUCAGUGCCGCAGCAAACGCAUUAAGCGCUCCGCCUGGGGAGUACGACCGCAAGGUUGAAACUCAAAGGAAUUGACGGGGGCCCGCACAAGCGGUGGAGCAUGUGGUUUAAUUCGAAGCAACGCGAAGAACCUUACCAGGUCUUGACAUCCUGUGCUACACCUAGAGAUAGGUGGUUCCCUUCGGGGACGCAGAGACAGGUGGUGCAUGGCUGUCGUCAGCUCGUGUCGUGAGAUGUUGGGUUAAGUCCCGCAACGAGCGCAACCCUUGUCUUUAGUUGCCAUCAUUAAGUUGGGCACUCUAAAGAGACUGCCGGUGACAAACCGGAGGAAGGUGGGGAUGACGUCAAGUCAUCAUGCCCCUUAUGACCUGGGCUACACACGUGCUACAAUGGGCAGUACAACGAGAAGCGAACCCGCGAGGGUAAGCGGAUCUCUUAAAGCUGUUCUCAGUUCGGACUGCAGGCUGCAACUCGCCUGCACGAAGCUGGAAUCGCUAGUAAUCGCGGAUCAGCACGCCGCGGUGAAUACGUUCCCGGGCCUUGUACACACCGCCCGUCACACCAUGGAAGUCUGCAAUGCCCAAAGUCGGUGGGAUAACCUUUAUAGGAGUCAGCCGCCUAAGGCAGGGCAGAUGACUGGGGUGAAGUCGUAACAAGGUAGCCGUAGGAGAACCUGCGGCUGGAUCACCUCCUUUCUAAGGAA